Molecule: ribosomal RNA, 855 nt
Filed under: Clostridioides difficile
Lineage: Bacteria; Bacillati; Bacillota; Clostridia; Peptostreptococcales; Peptostreptococcaceae
Description: bacterial LSU rRNA
Rfam family: Bacterial large subunit ribosomal RNA
Source: RNAcentral
GUGGGUAGCGGUCAAAUUCCAAUCGAGCCCGGAGAUAGCUGGUUCUCCCCGAAAUAGCUUUAGGGCUAGCCUCAAGGUGAGAGAUACGGAGGUAGAGCACUGAAUGUCCUAGGGGGUAUUGCACCUACCGAAGACUAUCAAACUCCGAAUGCCGUCAUCUUAUACUUGGGAGUCAGACUGUGGGUGAUAAGAUUCAUAGUCGAAAGGGCAACAGCCCAGAUCGUCAGCUAAGGUCCCUAAAUGUAAGUUAAGUGGUAAAGGAUGUGGGAUUGCACAGACAACCAGGAUGUUGGCUUAGAAGCAGCCACUCAUUCAAAGAGUGCGUAAUAGCUCACUGGUCGAGUGAUCCUGCGCCGAAGAUUUCCGGGGCUAAAACUUACUACCGAAGCUACGGCAUCAGUAAUGAUGGGUAGGGGAGCUUCCCAUACGGGUUGAAGCAUGACCGUAAGGACAUGUGGACAGUAUGGGAGUGAGAAUGUUGGCAUGAGUAGCGAGAUGUGGGUGAGAAUCCCACAGGCCGUAAACCCAAGGUUUCCAGGGGAAGGUUCGUCCGCCCUGGGUUAGUCGGGACCUAAGCUGAGGCCGAAAGGCGUAGGUGAUGGACAACAGGUUGAUAUUCCUGUACUACCGAUAACCGUUUGAGAGAAGGGAUGACACAGUAGGAUAAGCUAAGCACACUGUUGGUUAUGUGUGCCCAAGCAUUGAGGCAGUCAAAGUAGGCAAAUCCGCUUUGAUAAUGCUGGGAUGUGAUGGGGAGCGAAAUUUAGUAGCGAAGUAGCUGAUUUCACACUGUCAAGAAAAGUCUCUAUCGAGGUUAAAGGUACCCGUACCGCAAACCGACACAGGUGGGUGAGG